GACGAACGCUGGCGGCGUGCUUAACACAUGCAAGUCGAACGGAAAGGCCCUGCUUUUGUGGGGUGCUCGAGUGGCGAACGGGUGAGUAACACGUGAGUAACCUGCCCUUGACUUUGGGAUAACUUCAGGAAACUUGGGCUAAUACCGGAUAGGAGCUCCUGCUUCAUGGUGGGGGUUGGAAAGUUUCGGCGGUUGGGGAUGGACUCGCGGCUUAUCAGCUUGUUGGUGGGGUAGUGGCUUACCAAGGCUUUGACGGGUAGCCGGCCUGAGAGGGUGACCGGCCACAUUGGGAAUGAGAUACGGCCCAGACUCCUACGGGAGGCAGCAGUGGGGAAUAUUGCACAAUGGGCGGAAGCCUGAUGCAGCAACGCCGCGUGCGGGAUGACGGCCUUCGGGUUGUAAACCGCUUUCGCCUGUGACGAAGCGUGAGUGACGGUAAUGGGUAAAGAAGCACCGGCUAACUACGUG
RNAcentral lists this ribosomal RNA (468 nucleotides) under uncultured bacterium. Its description in RNAcentral is "partial 16S ribosomal RNA". It matches the Rfam family "Bacterial small subunit ribosomal RNA", at positions 28 to 507 of the family's 1533-position model. The record is from RNAcentral.